Pongo pygmaeus (Bornean orangutan) is the source of this 7463-nucleotide RNA transcript. It is a transcript of the gene named coiled-coil domain containing 57, with no coding region annotated. The record is from RefSeq and is a predicted model, not a curated record. Lineage: Eukaryota; Metazoa; Chordata; Mammalia; Primates; Hominidae. The transcript is spliced from 20 exons.
GCCGCGCUCUGUUCAUCCAUCCGCAGGUGGAUAAGAACACGUGCCUUUUUUUGAGGAUGUGAAUGGUUGGGAAUGGCUGUGCCUGAGGAUGUUGUUCCCACAGGAUGGUGGGGGCGACUCCGGGCCUCGGUCGGUCCCGGCCCCCCUCCUCCCCACCCCGUUCCCUAAUCAGGGUCCGAGCGGCCGCGCGGACGGCCCGGGGGCCCCGCCGGUCUCCGAGCCCGUGGGCAGCGCCGGGAACUCGCGCCCCGGUGGCCGCAGCCGACCCUCAGGCAGGACUUCGUGGCGCCCCCGGCCCGAACAGACCCCCACGGGCAGCCUCGGCCGCCCCCGCCCCCGUGCUCCCUUCAUCUCAGGGCAAAAGCUCAAGUCAACCCUUCGGGACCGCGAGCCGGGCGGCCUCAGGGAGCGGGCGCCUGGGGACCCGCGGCCGGGCCGGGGGCGGCGAAGGUGGGGGCGCCUCGCGCGGCGGAACCCGCCGUCCCCAUAGCCCGGAGCCCCGUCCGGAGUCGCCCCGCUGACCGGUGAGGAGGCCGGGCUCCCUCCUUCGAUCUGCGGCGGCGGUCGGCUCGGCCGGGGCGCCCCUCGGGCCUGGGCGCAGCGCGGAACCCGCGGGGCGGGAGCGGCCGGAACCUAGCGCCAGGGAUCUCGUUUCCUGUCGGCGGGACCCGAGCGCUGCACCGAGCGCAGCCGGACGCGGCCGACUGACCCGGUCGCUGUGGCAACGCGGCGGGACCUGGCAGCGCUGCGGGAGGGCGUUCGGGUAUUUCUGGAAAACUCAAACUGUUUUUCCUCUGCUCUCAUACCACAAGAAUCAUCAGCACAGAAGAAGACUUCUGUGAUCAAAUGUGGCGGAAGAGGGAGUUUCUCACCAGCACGUGAGCAGUCAGUUCUGCCGCAGACUUGGCGGGUGUCCUUCGGUUCAGUUCCAACACCACCUGCCUGGAGAGAGGUCAGACCACAGGCGGCCAUCAUGCUGCCGCUGGGCUCAGAGCCGGCCCUGAAUGAGCUGCUGCUUCGCAAGGAGGAGGAGUGGAGGGAGCUGCAGGCCCACCGCACCCAGCUGCAGGAGGCGGCUCUGCAGGACACACGGAGCCAGCUGGAGGAGGCGCAGGGGAAACUGCGGUGCCUGCAAGAGGACUUUGUCUACAACCUUCAGGUGCUGGAGGAGCGGGACCUCGAGCUGGAGCGCUAUGACGCUGCCUUCGCCCAGGCCAGGCAGCGGGAGGAGGCCAGGCGGGCAGAGGUGAGCGACCUCAAGAUAGAGGCGGCUAAGCUGAGGCAGGCGCUAGCCAGAGAGGCCAGGAAGGUGGAGGAGCUGCAGCAGCAGCAGCAGCUGGCGUGCCAGGAGCAUCGCCUGGAGCUGGAGCGCGUCCACAGUGACAAGAAUGGUGAGAUCGACCACCACCGGGAACAGUAUGAAAAUCUAAAAUGGACGCUGGAGAGAAAACUUGAGGAGCUCGACGGUGAGCUUGCUCUACAGAGACAGGAGCUGCUGCUGGAGUUUGAAUCGAAAAUGCGGAAGAGGGAGCACGAAUUCCGUCUGCAGGCUGACAACAUGAGCAACACAGCCUUGUCCCGGGAGCUUAAGGUUAAACUACUGCACAAAGAGCUGGAGGCUCUGAAGGAAGCCGGGGCAAAGGCUGCAGAGAGUCUGCAGAGGGCAGAGGCCACCAACGCCGAGCUGGAGAGGAAGCUCCAGAGCCGAGCCGGGGAGCUCCGGGACCUGGAGGCCAUGAGCCGCGCCCGGGUAAAGGACUUAGAGGAUAAACUUCACUCUGUGCAGCUAACCAGGAAGAAGGAAGAGGAAACAUUUAAGAGGAAGCAUGAGGAGCUCGACCGUCUGGCCAGGGAGAAGGAUGCGGUGCUGGUGGCGGUGAAGGGAGCCCACGUGGACCAGCUGCAGGAGCUGCAGGCCAGGGUUCUGGAGCUGCAGGCCCACUGCGAGACCCUCGAGGCGCAGCUCCGCAGGGCAGAGUGGAGACAGGCUGACACCGCCAAGGAGAAGGACGCUGCCAUUGACCAACUUCGUGAAGAUGCAUCAACUGUAAAAUCUGCCUGGGAUGCUCAGAUUGCUCAACUAUCUAAGGAGAUGGUCUCCAGAGACCUUCAGAUUCAGACGCUGAAGGAAGAAGAGGUGAAGCUCAAGGCACAGGUGGCCCGAUCCCAGCAGGACAUUGAAAGGUACAAGCAACAGCUGUCCCUGGCGAUGGAAAGGGAGCGGAGCCUGGAGCGUGAUCAGGUGCAGCUGGGCCUGGACUGGCAGCGCCGCUGUGACAACAUUGAAAGGGACCAGAUCCAAAAGUCAGAGGCCCUGAUUCAGGGUCUGACCACGGCAAAAAGUCAGGUUGCUGCCAAGCUGCAGGAGACAGAGCAGGCGCUACGGGAGCAGGAGGUGGUGCUGAAGGCCGUGACCCUGGAACGAGACCAGGCCGUGCAGGCCCUGAGGAUGCAUGGGCUCCCUGGACCAGGGACACAGAUGCUCCUCAUGCAGCAUGAAGAAGAAAUAAGUAAAGAUUUUCUAUCCAGUGAGAUCCAGCGGCUCCGAGAGCAGAACACAAGCUUGCGAAACGCGAUUGCCCAGAUGAGGAAAGAAAUGGAGGCUCUAAGCCAUCAGAUUCCUCCUCCCGUCCAGACAGCGGCAGAGAGCACAGAUGCAAACCAGCCUGACCCAGAGGCUGGGGGAGAUGCCGCCACUCCUGAUUAUGUUCUGGCCCUUGAAGCAGAAAUACGAACUCUAAAGCAUAAGUUUAAAACUCUGGAAAAGCAUCUAGAAGAUGUGUUGGAUCCUUUAAAGAUGUCCUCACCUCAUGCUGAGUCUCAGCCCAGCGUCCGCACCUUGACAGAGACGACUGGAGGGUCUGCCCAAGCUGGUCAAGCCGGAGGAUCUGUCCAAGCUGGCCCAGUAUCCUCCAGACUGGCACUCAGGAAGCUCGGGGACAGAGUGCAGCUCCUAAACCUGCUGGUGAGACGACUGAGACAGAAGGUGCCGCGGGAACCCCUGGAGCCGGCCGCUCUCCAGCGUGAGCUUCCCCGUGAGGUGGACCAGGUACACCUGGAGGUUUUGGAGCUGCAGAAGCAGGUGGCUGAGCUGGGGAAGCAUCUCAGGAUAGCCCAGCACGGGGGAGCGGAGCCUUCAGGCAGGAAGCAGCCCCCAGCCUCGGACGCCGUGGCCCUUGGGAGAGAGGGCCUCGCCAAGAGAGGGCCUGUGGAGGCCGAGGACCAGGGGGAGCUUUUCCUGCACCUCCGGUCAGUGGCACAUGCCCCCCAGACCUUAUCUAUGCACCGACUCCAGAGGAAGCUAAAGGAGGCAGCCAGAAAAAUCAUCAGCCUCCGCCUGGAGAAAGAGCAGCUCAUCGAGAUGGGGAACAGGCUCCGUGCAGAGCUAGGCCGACCCGAAAGGUGGCUGUUGCACCACACCCUCCCUCCUGCCCCCGAGGCCCGGAAGCCAGGCGAGGAGCCCAGGAGGCCUUUGGAUCGCAGCCCACCUUUGGGACAGGUGCAGCCCCAUUUUACAGCUCAGGACGCCAAGAGUGCUGAGGAUGGGUGUCCUUCCAGACACUUGGGAAAGCACCGGCCCCGCUCAGCACAGGUGGGCAGCAGACUUGACGCCCUGCAAGGCCCGAAGAGACAACACAGCAUCCACACGGUGACCUGUAAAUCACCUCGGCAGAAAGAAGACAGGUCCCCACAGCCACCCCAGGCUCCCGAGCGCCCUGAGGAGCAUGGUCGCCAAUCCCACAGCUCCUCCUCCUUUGCCAGUGGUGCCCUCCAGGACACGUGGAGGUUGCUAGACCUGGGAUCCAGCCCUUCUGGUCUCACCUCCCAGGGUGACUCAACUCCAGGUAGGAGACUGCCCUCCCCAGGAGCUGCCCACAGCUGACAGCUGGCAGCUGGCGGAGGCCACCCUCUCCGAGGGGCAUGUGGAGAGUCAGCACCCUGAGUGCCUCCUGCACCCUGAUAUCCCUGCACUUUGGUUGAGUAAUGGAUGGAGUCUCCUUACCUCUCAUUUGGCACCUGAGUGUUUCCCGGGUUAUGGUGCAAAGCCCUGAAGGGCAGAAACCAUGCCAUUUCCUAGCGCAGCACUGUACACCCGGGCGCACGCUGACUUAGAAUGGAGCACCGUGCACCCGGGCGCACGCUGACUUAGAAUGGAACACCGUACACCCGGACGCACGCUGACUUAGAAUGGAACACCGUACACCCGGACGCACGAUGACUUACAAUGCAGCACCGUACACCCGGGCGCACGCUGACUUAGAAUGCAGCACCGUACACCCGGGCGCACGCUGACUUAGAAUGGAGCACUGUACACCCGGGCGCACGCUGACUUAGAAUGGAGCCCAGGUGAGACGCGCAGGCAUUGGCGCACUUUAGACGGCCCUGCUCCUGGGGAAGAGCCAGGCCACCCCAUUGAUGCUCCCGGGGAAGAGCCAGGCAGACCCCAGUGAUGCUCAGCCUCAUGGGCCAGACAAGUGUCAGCCGCAUCCUCAACCUCGUCCUGCUUUGCGGCACGGACGUUGCCACCCUGAGACUCUUCUCUGCACCUAAGUCAUAGGCCUGGUAAACUCAGCAGGUCAUAGUGCCAGCUCCUGCUAGUGGUCUCAGGAAGUUUUCAGGAAAGUCUGUUUGAAGGGUGCACCUUGCGGGGACUGCAUGGGUCUAUGAUGUAGCGAGAAGGAUGGAGGGAGACAGAUGCUGCUUCGAGGCAGCUGGAGUUGCGGGACGUGUGAUGUGGUUGGGGUGGGAGUGUGCGUCUGUCCUGUGUGCCUGCAUGGAGGGCGUCCCCUUCUUACCUUACAGCUUCCCUGUCUUCCGUCAUGAGGAUGUGCCUCAUUCAUUUAAUCAUUCUCUCCUUCAUGAGCAUUUUAGGCUAUUUCCAGUCCUUUACCAUCACAGAUACUGUUAGAAUAGUAACCUCACAGGCUGCGGUGUGUGUGAAAACACACGUGUAAGCGCCCCAGGGGCUUGCGUAGUCAAGGCUGCCCGCGUGCCACGUGUGGUGGACAGCAUCACCUCAGCCUCCACCGCCCACCCAGAGGCUGCUCCCAGCAGCAGUGUCUGAGAGUCAUAUAGCCACACGCAACUUUUGCCGGUGACAGCGGGAUUGGCAUCAGCGCCUCUGCUGGGAGGUCGUGCAUCUUCGUGUGUGUUUAGGAGCCACUUCCUUUCCCUGUUCUUCAGUUCUCUGCCCAUUUGUAUAUUAGAUUGUUGUCUUUCUUACUGAUUUGUAGCAGCUCAUUAUAUGUGAUAGAAAUUAGGCCUUUUCGCUGACAACAAUUUAAAUGUUUUCUCCCAGUUCUUCAUGUUUUUAAAUGUUUCUUAUGGUGUUUUUUUAUGUUCAUAUUUUUUAUUUCUAUGUAAUUUAAUGUCCUUGUUUUUUAUCUUGUCUGGAGUUUAAGACCAGCCUGGCCAACAUGGCGAAACCCCAUCUCUACUAAAAAUACAACAAUUCACUGGGCCUGGUGGCGCAUGCCUGUAAUCCCAGCUACUUGGGAGGCUGAGGCAUGAGAAUCACUUGAACCCGGGAGGUGGAGGUUGCAGGGAGCUGAGAUUGCACCACUGCAUUCCAGUCUGGGUGACGGAAUGAGACUCUGCCUCAAAAAAAAAAAAAAAAAAAAAAAAUUUAGUAGAGAUGGUGUCUCCCUAUGUUGCCCAGGCUGAUCUCAAAUUCCUGGGCUCAAGCAAUCCUCCCGCUUCAGCCGCCCAAAGUGCUGAGAUUGCAGGCAUGAGUCACCAUGCCCGGCCUAUUUUUGUAUAUAAUUUUUAGAGUUGGCUUGUCUGAGUCUGGUUCCCCCAGCCCCUCCCCACAAACACUAUUGUAAGUGUCCUUAGGAUUGACGCAGCUUCCCUUCUGCCUUAGGAAGGAAUGGGGUUGUGUGGCUGGCUUCCGUUCCCCGUGUGCUCCAGUGCUGGCAUCACGAAUGUGGCGUGUCCCACUCUGAUGGCUCCCCUCUGUGCUCAGGAUUCUCGGGGCGCCGCCUCCUUGCGUUUUUAAUUCACCACAAAACAUUUUGUCCAAAUUUUCAUCAACUCAAUGGAAAGUUCUUCUGGAGACGUUCGUGUUCAUUCGUUUGCUUGUUUCCUUUCUCCUUUUCUCUUGGAGCACUUUCGUUUCUUGCCUCCCCCCUCAUUUUUUUUUUUUUUUUUCUUUUUAGAGACAGUGUCUCAUUCUGUCACCCAGGCUGGAGUGCAGCGCUGCAAUCUCAGCUCACUGCAGCCUUGACCUCUUGGGCUCAAGUGAUUCUCCCACCUCAGCCUCCCAAGUAGCUGGGAUCACAGGGACACGCCACCACACUCAGCUAAGAUUGUUUUAGUUUUUUGUAGAGACAAGGUGUCGCUGUGUUGCCCAGGCUGGUCUCAAACUCCUGGGCUCAAGCGAUCUUCCCACCUUACGUUCUCAAAGUGCUGGGAUUACAGGCAUGAGCCAUUGUACCUGGCCUCAUCUUUAAAACAGGUAAAUUUUUACUUGACUAGCUAUUUGAAAAAGUUUGUAUGGAAAAUGAAGCCAGAGCCAUAUUCCAGUCUAGCAGAGUUUUUGUUGUUGAUUUUAGCUUUAAGUACAGGUCUUCACCUAUCAGGCUUUUAACAGCUGAUACAGCUUCUCUUUUCCCUUUCCCCACAGAUACUGCACUUUGCAGAUAGGGCCUGUUCUGUUCCUGGUUCACUCUCCCUCCUCUCUUCCAGGAACGGAACAAGGUCAGGGAAGCACUUGCUGCCAGCCCAUGUUCCUACUCCUGAAACAAGGAAUUAGGUCCUACCCUCAGGGCGUGCCCUUGCCUUUGAGAAAUGCCCUCUGCUCUUUCUGCAGUCUGUAACGAGGCAUCUGUAUGUCUUUGACACAGCCCUUGCCGAGUUCCUGCGGCCUUUGGUAGCCCCCACCACCACCACCAUUUCUAGCUCUUAGUUUUAAUGAAAAUGAAGUUUGCAUUUUUGCUUUUCAUUAUCUUUUUUUUUUUUUUUUUGCUUUUGGAUGAUUUACAAGGAUAGUGGAGGAGUGCUAGCUUCGUGAUGCCUUCUUCAAGUCUGAAAUCUGUCUUGUUUUCUGAUCAAUGCAGCCAAAGAAAUGCAUAUUCCUCCAAGCGCUGCUUUGCUUUAACCAUGUCUCAUAAAUCUCGACAUCCUCAUGUUUCCCUUGUCUUUCCCUUGUGGGACUUAUAACUCAACUCAUUUUGCUUUAACUUAAAUGGAAUUUUUCCUUAAGUUUCUAGAUUUGUGGAAUUUUAUUUUUUUGUCUGUUACUGAUUUCUAAUAUUUUUACAUUCUGGUCAGAGAAUUAAAUUACUAUGACGUUAACUCUUCUGAGAGGGAAAUAUUAGUUCUUAAACUACAAUUAUCAAUUUAUCUGUUUUUGUCAAUUGUUGCUUUAUGUGUUUUGAGGUCCACUGUUAGGUGCAUAUAUGUUUAGGUUUUUUGCCUUCUUGAUCUUUUCCUCCCUUUAGUAAAGUAUGUAACAUCCUUCA